Molecule: transfer RNA, 74 nt
Filed under: Candidatus Dormiibacterota bacterium
Lineage: Bacteria; Bacillati; Candidatus Dormiibacterota
Description: tRNA-Ile
Rfam family: tRNA
About the family: Transfer RNA (tRNA) molecules are approximately 80 nucleotides in length. Their secondary structure includes four short double-helical elements and three loops (D, anti-codon, and T loops).
Source: RNAcentral
GGGCCCGUAGCUCAGUUGGUCAGAGCGGCGGACUCAUAAUCCGCUGGUCGGUGGUUCGAGGCCACCCGGGCCCA